Molecule: ribosomal RNA, 442 nt
Filed under: uncultured bacterium
Lineage: Bacteria
Description: partial 16S ribosomal RNA
Rfam family: Bacterial small subunit ribosomal RNA
Source: RNAcentral
CCUACGGGAGGCUGCAGUGAGGAAUAUUGGUCAAUGGGCGGAAGCCUGAACCAGCCAAGCAGCGUGAAGGAAGAAGGCUUUCGGGUUGUAAACUUCUUUUAAGAGGGAAGAGCAGAAGACGGUACCUCUUGAAUAAGCCACGGCUAACUACGUGCCAGCAGCCGCGGUAAUACGUAGGUGGCAAGCGUUGUCCGGAUUUACUGGGUGUAAAGGGCGUGUAGCCGGGCUGACAAGUCAGAUGUGAAAUCCCGUGGCUCAACCACGGAACUGCAUUUGAAACUGUCGGUCUUGAGUAUCGGAGAGGCAGGCGGAAUUCCUAGUGUAGCGGUGAAAUGCGUAGAUAUUAGGAGGAACACCAGUGGCGAAGGCGGCCUGCUGGACGACAACUGACGGUGAGGCGCGAAAGCGUGGGGAGCAAACAGGAUUAGAUACCCCUGUAGUC